GAAGGGGGCAUCUUCGUCAAUUCCUGUAGCUACAUGGAAUGCGCACAAUAUAUCAAUAUUUUGUGAUGUUUGCAUCAAGGAGGUUGAGGCCGGACAUCGUUCGGGCACUCACUUUGACAAAGAAGGAUAUGCAAAUAUUAGAGCUAACUUCAAGGCAGAGACAGGGCAUGAUUAUGAAAAAAAAGCAACUGAAAAAUAAGUGGGAUGCACUUAAAAAUGAGUAGAAGUUGUGGAAAGAGCUAGUUGGUAAAGAAACUGGCCUAGGGUGAAAUUCAAGCAAGGGUACCGUUGAUGCCUCUGAGGAGUGGUGGAACAAUAAAAUUCAAAUAAACAAAGAAUAUGGAAAAUUGCGAAAAAAGGCAUUAGUCCUGAGAUGGAGGACAAGUUAGAUAGGAUGUUCUUGAGUACAAUUGCUACCGGUGAACAUGCCUGGGCACCUUCAUCUGGAGUACGACCACCAGAGUCAAGAGAGGAAUCUGUAGGACAAAUUGAUUCAUAUGAUGAGGAAGAAACUGAGACUAUGCAGGAUCUAAGGCAAGCAAGUAGGAAGGGAA
This is a long non-coding RNA of Pyrus x bretschneideri (Chinese white pear), 554 nucleotides long. RefSeq lists it as uncharacterized. The transcript is spliced from 2 exons. The record is from RefSeq and is a predicted model, not a curated record. NCBI's taxonomy places the organism in Eukaryota, Viridiplantae, Streptophyta, Magnoliopsida, Rosales, Rosaceae.